AUACGUAGGGGGCGAGCGUUGUCCGGAAUUACUGGGCGUAAAGGGUGCGUAGGUGGCACUUUAAGUUGGAUGUGAAAUCCCCGUGCUUAACAUGGGAGCUGCAUCCAAUACUGGAGAGCUAGAGUGCAGGAGAGGUAAGCGGAAUUCCUAGUGUAGCGGUGAAAUGCGUAGAUAUUAGGAGGAACACCAGUGGCGAAGGCGGCUUACUGGACUGUAACUGACACUGAGGCACAAAAGCGUGGGGAGCAAACAGGAUUAGAUACCCUGGUAGUCCACGCUGUAAACGAUGAAUACUAGGUGUAGGGGGUAUCAACUCCCUCUGUGCCGCAGCAAACGCAAUAAGUAUUCCGCCUGGGGAGUACGGCCGCAAGGUUGAAACUCAAAUGAAUUGACGGGG
This 397-nucleotide ribosomal RNA is filed under the name uncultured bacterium. RNAcentral describes it as "partial 16S ribosomal RNA". It matches the Rfam family "Bacterial small subunit ribosomal RNA", at positions 523 to 918 of the family's 1533-position model. The record is from RNAcentral.